RNAcentral lists this ribosomal RNA (242 nucleotides) under uncultured bacterium. RNAcentral's name for it is "partial 16S ribosomal RNA". It matches the Rfam family "Bacterial small subunit ribosomal RNA", at positions 91 to 334 of the family's 1533-position model. The record is from RNAcentral.
ACGACCGGCGCACGGGUGAGUAUCGCGUAUGUAACUUUCCUGCUACAGGGGGAUAACCCGGAGAAAUCCGGACUAAUACCGCAUGAUACAGAUUUUCCGCAUGGGGAAUUUGUUAAAGAUUAUUGGUAGCAGAUGGGCAUGCGUUCCAUUAGUUUGUUGGUAAGGUAACGGCUUACCAAGACUUCGAUGGAUAGGGGAACUGAGAGGUUUAUCCCCCACACUGGAACUGAGACACGGACCAG